RNAcentral lists this ribosomal RNA (730 nucleotides) under Pseudomonas sp. ANT_J12. RNAcentral describes it as "partial 23S ribosomal RNA". It matches the Rfam family "Bacterial large subunit ribosomal RNA", at positions 2218 to 2925 of the family's 2925-position model. The record is from RNAcentral. Lineage: Bacteria; Pseudomonadati; Pseudomonadota; Gammaproteobacteria; Pseudomonadales; Pseudomonadaceae.
GGUUCUAACUCAGGUCCGUUAUCCGGAUCGAGGACAGUGUAUGGUGGGUAGUUUGACUGGGGCGGUCUCCUCCUAAAGAGUAACGGAGGAGUACGAAGGUGCGCUCAGACCGGUCGGAAAUCGGUCGUAGAGUAUAAAGGCAAAAGCGCGCUUGACUGCGAGACAGACACGUCGAGCAGGUACGAAAGUAGGUCUUAGUGAUCCGGUGGUUCUGUAUGGAAGGGCCAUCGCUCAACGGAUAAAAGGUACUCCGGGGAUAACAGGCUGAUACCGCCCAAGAGUUCAUAUCGACGGCGGUGUUUGGCACCUCGAUGUCGGCUCAUCACAUCCUGGGGCUGAAGCCGGUCCCAAGGGUAUGGCUGUUCGCCAUUUAAAGUGGUACGCGAGCUGGGUUUAGAACGUCGUGAGACAGUUCGGUCCCUAUCUGCCGUGGACGUUUGAGAUUUGAGAGGGGCUGCUCCUAGUACGAGAGGACCGGAGUGGACGAACCUCUGGUGUUCCGGUUGUCACGCCAGUGGCAUUGCCGGGUAGCUAUGUUCGGAAUAGAUAACCGCUGAAAGCAUCUAAGCGGGAAACUAGCCUCAAGAUGAGAUCUCACUGGGACCUUGAGUCCCCUGAAGGGCCGUCGAAGACUACGACGUUGAUAGGUUGGGUGUGUAAGCGCUGUGAGGCGUUGAGCUAACCAAUACUAAUUGCCCGUGAGGCUUGACCAUAUAACACCCAAGCAAUU